GACAAACGCUGGCGGGGUGCAUGAGACAUGCAAGUCGCACGGGGUUGAUCGGGCUUGCUCGAUCAACCUAGUGGCGAACGGCUGAGUAACGCGUAGGUGACCUACCCGGAAGUGGGGAAUAACUGCCCGAAAGGGUGGCUAAUACCGCAUGUGGUCGGCGAAUCAGAUCGCCGUCCAAAGCCGAAAGGCGCUUCCGGAGGGGCCUGCGUCCGAUUAGCUAGUUGGCGGGGUAACGCUCACCAAGGCGACGAUCGGUAGCUGGUCUGAGAGGAUGAUCAGCCAGACUGGGACUGAGAACGGCCCAGACUCCUACGGGAGGCAGCAGUCGGGAAUUUUGCCCAAUGGACGAAAGUCUGAGGCAGCGACUCCGCGUGAGGGAUGAAGGCCU
RNAcentral lists this ribosomal RNA (388 nucleotides) under uncultured bacterium. Its description in RNAcentral is "bacterial SSU rRNA". It matches the Rfam family "Bacterial small subunit ribosomal RNA", at positions 28 to 417 of the family's 1533-position model. The record is from RNAcentral.